Molecule: long non-coding RNA, 414 nt
Organism: Miniopterus natalensis
Lineage: Eukaryota; Metazoa; Chordata; Mammalia; Chiroptera; Miniopteridae
Source: RefSeq, a predicted model, not a curated record
CAGGGUGGAGCUCUGCCCCAGGCGUCCUGGAUUUGUGAAAACUCAUUAAGCUGUAACAGUUAAGGUCUUGGAGAAAGGUCCAUGGCUCCGUGGCUCCUGAAUCUCUGGACACUUGGCCAGUCUCCAGUUGUACGAGGCAGUCCAACCAGCACCCAAGUGCUCAAAGGCAGAGCCAGAAGUGAUGCAAUGACAUGGAGAUACCUGAGAUAAGGAACCUGAGGUCCAAGGAUUCUGCGACUUGCCUGGCAUCACACAGCUCAACUGGAGACCAAGUUCUGAGCUUUUGUCUUUCCCUGGCAUCCCCCACGGAAGGUCCCAUCUUCUUUCCUGUACAACAAUGGUUCUCAACUAAGGGCGACGUUGCCUUCCAGGAGACAUCUGGCAGUGUCUGGAGGUGUUUUUGGUUGUCACAAU